This 500-nucleotide ribosomal RNA is filed under the name uncultured Capnocytophaga sp. RNAcentral describes it as "bacterial SSU rRNA". It matches the Rfam family "Bacterial small subunit ribosomal RNA", at positions 8 to 507 of the family's 1533-position model. Lineage: Bacteria; Pseudomonadati; Bacteroidota; Flavobacteriia; Flavobacteriales; Flavobacteriaceae. The record is from RNAcentral.
AGAGUUUGAUCCUGGCUCAGGAUGAACGCUAGCGGCAGGCCUAACACAUGCAAGUCGAGGGAGAGGUUACCUUCGGGUAACUGAAACCGGCGCACGGGUGCGUAACGCGUAUACAAUCUGCCUUUCACAUAGGGAUAGCCCGAAGAAAUUUGGAUUAAUACCUAAUGGUAUAUAAGAGCGGCAUCGUUUUUAUAUUAAAGCUACGGUGGUGAAAGAUGAGUAUGCGUUCUAUUAGCUAGUUGGAGAGGUAACGGCUCCCCAAGGCGACGAUAGAUAGGGGUUCUGAGAGGGAUGUCCCCCACACUGGUACUGAGAUACGGACCAGACUCCUACGGGAGGCAGCAGUGAGGAAUAUUGGACAAUGGUCGGAAGACUGAUCCAGCCAUGCCGCGUGCAGGAUGAAGGUCCUAUGGAUUGUAAACUGCUUUUGUAAGGGAAGAAUAAGGGGUACGUGUACUUUGAUGACGGUACCUUACGAAUAAGCAUCGGCUAACUCCGUG